This is an RNA transcript of Coffea arabica (coffee), 3540 nucleotides long. It is a transcript of the gene named receptor kinase-like protein Xa21, with no coding region annotated. The record is from RefSeq and is a predicted model, not a curated record. NCBI's taxonomy places the organism in Eukaryota, Viridiplantae, Streptophyta, Magnoliopsida, Gentianales, Rubiaceae.
UAUACUUUUCAUUCCGCAGAAACUUUUAUCAUUCAAUCAUCAAUUUGUUGCAAAUUAAUCCAUCUUUGCCUUCACAGCUCAUCCAAAUUCCAAAUACCAUGUGGGGACUUCGCUCAUCAUCAACAUUAGCGAGCAUUUUUCUCCUACUCUCAGUUGCCAUGAGCUUUUCAGCUUCUAAACAAUUUAAAAAUGAAACUGAUCGUCUUGCUCUGCUUGAAUUCAAGAAGCAGAUAUACAAUGACCCGCUGGGAGUGCUGAACUCCUGGAACCUUUCACAACACCAUUGUCAGUGGGAAGGAGUCACAUGUGGUACUCGACAUCAGAGGGUGAUAGCCUUGACUCUACGGCAUAAGCAGUUGUCUGGAACCAUAUCUCCUCAUGUCGGAAAUCUAAGCUUCAUGAGGUUCAUCCAACUUGGGGAGAAUCAAUUCCAUGGUGAGAUUCCCCAAGAAUUCGGUCGCCUCUUCAGGCUGAGAGUCCUGAACCUCUCAAGUAACGCGAUCGGUGGAAAAAUCCCAGCAAACCUGAGCUACUGCUCAGAGUUGGUAACUAUUAGCCUAAUCGAGAACAAGCUUGAAGGGAAAAUUCCGAUUGAUCAGCUGAGCAAUCUGAAGAAGCUUAAAGGAAUAUUUUUUAGCAUAAACAAUUUGACGGGAGAGAUUCCCUCUUCCAUUGGGAACUUAUCAUCGCUGACUUCACUCAGUCUUGCCCUUAACAAUCUGGAGGGAAAUUUGCCCAUGGAAAUGGGGCUCUUAAAAAGGUUAUCCUUUUUUUCAGCACCAGCAAAUAAACUAUCUGGUAUAAUCCCUGCCUCCAUCUUUAAUAGUUCAGCCAUUACUGUCAUUUCAGUGGGCGGCAAUUCCUUUCAUGGCAGUCUCCCAACCAACAUAGGUCUCACCCUACCAAAUCUGGAAGCAUUAGCUGUUGGGGGAAACAACUUCUAUGGAAACUUUCCAUCUUCAAUCACUAAUGCUUCUGGGCUUGAGAUACUUGAUCUUCCCUAUAAUAAGUUCGCAGGCCAAGUUCCAGCUAAUUUAGGAGAUCUGACAAAUCUUCAAUUAUUAAAUCUUGACACAAACCUCUUCGGCGGUAAUUCAACUGGAGAUUUAGAUUUUAUUGCAUCAUUGACCAACUGCAGUGAUCUCAGAAUUCUUGCCUUGGGUUACAAUAACUUCGGAGGUAAUAUACCCAAACUCAUGGCCAAUCUCUCAAAACAACUCACUGAACUGUACCUGGGGGGAAAUCAACUGUCAGGACCUAUUCCAGAAGGAUUUGGAAACUUUGUCAACCUAUAUAAACUUGACCUUGAAUUGAACUCUUUUUCAGGGAUUAUUCCAAGAGAUUUUGGCAAGUUACCAAAUUUGCAAGGAUUGCGUCUGAACCAAAAUGACUUGUCAGGACAGAUAGUCUCUACCCUAUGCAACAACACCAAUCUAUUCUUUCUGGACUUAUCAUUUAACCAGUUUGAAGGGGGCAAUAUAUUUGACAAUGUUCUUAUGAGCUGUCAAAAUUUGCAAUAUCUGGAUAUAUCUCAAAACAACUUCACUGGAAUUAUAUCACCUCAUUUUCUGCAGACGCACUCAUCACUGAUUGCUAUGGUAUUAAGUGAAAAUUCUUUCACUGGUUCUCUGCCUCCUGAAGUUGGAAAGCUUGUACAUUUGGUGAAUUUCUCGGUUUCCCACAACCAAUUUUCUGGCGAUAUACCCAUCUCACUUGCUGAUUGUUCAGAUCUGGAGAAUCUUUAUAUGGAAGCCAAUUUUUUCCAAGGAACAAUUCCACCAAAUUUGGCUUCUUGGAAGAGCAUCCAGCAAUUAGACCUUUCAAGUAAUAACUUGACUGGUCCAAUACCCAGAGAACUUGAGAAGCUUCACUCUUUGAGCCACUUAAAUCUUUCCUACAACGACAUCGAGGGCGAGAUACCAAACACUGGAAUUUUCGGUAAUGCAAGUCAAAUAUCAUUGACUGGCAACAAAAAACUCUGUGGAGGCAUUGCAGAAUUGGAGUUCCCACCUUGCCCAGUGAUUAAGGGGAAAAACAGAGGAAAGCUGAAGGUUAUCAUAUUGUUGUCCAUUGUUUUACCGGCAACGCUUCUAGUUCUUGGUGCAUUGUUGUUAUAUUCCUUGGUACAUCGAAAAAGAGAAAGAAGAAUGGUGGCCGGAUUCUCUAGCAUGCCCCCAAGAAUCGAUGAGCUCUUGCGAAUUUCUUACCAUGAACUUCAUCGUGCAACUUCAGGAUUUUCUCUAGAAAACUUAAUUGGUUCAGGAAAUUUUGGAGCUGUCUACAAAGGAAGGCUAGAAAAACAUGGCAACAAGCUUGUUGCAGUGAAAGUUCUUGAUCUUCAAAAGAACGGAGCUUCGAAAAGUUUUAAGGCCGAGUGCAAAGCAUUGAGAAAUAUUCGCCAUAGAAACCUCGUUUCUAUCGUGAGUUAUUGCUCCAGUAUUGAUUCCAAGGGUGAUGAAUUCAAAGCUCUAAUCUAUGAGUUCAUGGAAAAUGGAAAUCUGGACCUGUGGCUGCAUCCUUCAGAGACAACUGAUCAGGCAACAAGCUCAAGAAGUCUUAAUCUUCUUCAGAAGCUAAAUAUUGGAAUUGAUGUGGCUUCAGCAUUGCAAUAUCUUCACGACCACUGCGAAGCUGAGAUUGUUCACUGUGAUCUAAAACCAAGUAACAUUCUUCUUGACAAUGAUCUUGUUGCUCAUGUGGGUGAUUUUGGAUUGGCAAGGCUUCUCCCGAAACACAUCAACACUUCUUCCGAGCAAAGAACCAGUAGUACUAUUGCCAUAAAAGGAUCAAUCGGUUAUGCAGCUCCAGAGUAUGGAAUGGGUCUUGCGCCAUCAACUCAGGGGGAUGUCUACAGCUACGGCAUUCUUUUGCUAGAGAUGAUUACAGGGAGGAGACCAACAGAUGAUAUAUUCGUGGGUGAUCUUGAUCUGCAUAACUAUGUUGAUGGGGCUUUGCAUGAACGAGUUCCUGAGAUCGUGGACCCGUUGCUUUUUCUUGAGGGAGAUGAAAACAGAAAUAUGACUCCUGGAGGGAAAAAUAGCAAUGGUGGAAAAGAGAUGGAGUGCAUUAUUUCCCUGCUGAAAAUUGGACUUAAGUGCUCUGCAAGAUUACCAAAUGGUAGGAUGCAUAUGAAUGAAGUUGUCAGAAAGUUACAUCUCAUUAAAGAUGUUUUCCUUGGUGUCAGGGUGCAUCAAGAAAAUCUUGAAGCUUAAUAUCUACAGGUAUACACAAGAAUUUAACACAGCCCGCAAGUUGAAGUCCAUUUUUACUAUAUUAGCAAAAAAAGGUCUGAAUCUCCAAGCUGAAGUUGUGAAUGGGGUGAGCUAAUGAAGAAGACACCUUUGGCUUUUCAUUUGAAAAUAAAAAUAAUGGGAUGAUUCAAACAUAUUCCUGUAGUCUUUCUUUCUAAGAAUUAGAUGUUCUUGAAGGCAGUCAAUUGGUUCAAUUCUGCUUGAACAUCUUAAUGCUUCCAUAUUAUGCUUGGAUAGUAUGCAACACAUUAUACUUACAAUGCAUAGUCUUGCUCCCACUUUCUUUGAA